RNAcentral lists this transfer RNA (93 nucleotides) under Coprinopsis marcescibilis. It matches the Rfam family "tRNA". Rfam says of the family: Transfer RNA (tRNA) molecules are approximately 80 nucleotides in length. Their secondary structure includes four short double-helical elements and three loops (D, anti-codon, and T loops). The record is from Rfam by way of RNAcentral. Lineage: Eukaryota; Fungi; Basidiomycota; Agaricomycetes; Agaricales; Psathyrellaceae.
GGCUACCUGGCGCAAUGGUAGCGCGUUUGGCUUCGAUGGCUUAACGGCAUGUUGCAUACCAAGAGGUUGCAGGUUCGAGCCCUGCGGUGGUCA